UACGUAGGGUGCAAGCGUUGUCCGGAAUUAUUGGGCGUAAAGAGCUCGUAGGCGGCUUGUCACGUCGACUGUGAAAACCCGGGGCUCAACUCCGGGCCUGCAGUCGAUACGGGCUGGCUUGAGUGCGGUAGGGGAGACUGGAAUUCCUGGUGUAGCGGUGAAAUGCGCAGAUAUCAGGAGGAACACCGGUGGCGAAGGCGACUACCUGGCCUGUUCUUGACGCUGAGGCGCGAAAGCUAGGGGAGCAAACGGG
This 253-nucleotide ribosomal RNA is filed under the name uncultured bacterium. Its description in RNAcentral is "partial 16S ribosomal RNA". It matches the Rfam family "Bacterial small subunit ribosomal RNA", at positions 524 to 776 of the family's 1533-position model. The record is from RNAcentral.